UAAAUAGAGAACUAGAAAACCCCACACUCCAUAUCCAAUUUCUCUCAUUCUUCAAGCCUUUUCAUUUACUACUAGUCUUGAAGAUCCAAAAUCAAGAUUCAUCACAUCUUUUGUUUCUUCACUCCAAUUGUUUUUUUUGUUUUUUCUCUAUCCAAACAUUGUUAAGAAGAGAUUUGAAGAAGUUAUACAAGAUGAGGCUGCUUCUCAUUUUUUUGGCUUUGCUCAUCAUGGCUUCAUCAAUGUUAGAAGCUAAGCCACUUAUUGGUUCAACAAGUUGUCCUGUACCUAGAAAUAGUUGUUCACAGGCAUGCGUUAAGAGAUGUGCACUUAAAGGUCACAAAAAACGAUGUUUGUUUUACUGCAACCAUUGCUGUAAUUGGUGUCAAUGUGUUCCACCAGGAUAUGUUGGGCAAAAUAAAGGGUGUUGUUCUUGCUACAACAAUUGGCACACACAAUUAGGAGGACCCAAGUGUCCAUGAAAAUAAAAGGGUGGAUCAGUUUAAUGUUUAAUUUUCUUUAUUUGAUCUUCUUGAGAAGGAUGAUCCCAUGUAUUGUUAAAAUCAAGAAUUAAUAUUUCUUGAUUAUGUUUUAUGUUUGGUCACCAUGAUCAAACUAUUAUCCAUAAUAUUACAAAUUUUCAUGAACCAAAAAUAAACUGAACUCUUUUUUUUUUUUU
This is a long non-coding RNA of Lycium ferocissimum, 676 nucleotides long. RefSeq lists it as uncharacterized. The transcript is spliced from 3 exons. NCBI's taxonomy places the organism in Eukaryota, Viridiplantae, Streptophyta, Magnoliopsida, Solanales, Solanaceae. The record is from RefSeq and is a predicted model, not a curated record.